GACGAACGCUGGCGGCGUGCUUAACACAUGCAAGUCGAACGGAAAGGCCCUGCUUUUGUGGGGUGCUCGAGUGGCGAACGUGUGAGUAACACGUGAGUAACCUGCCCUUGACUUUGGUAUAACUUCAGGAAACUGGGGCUAAUACCGGAUAGGAGCUCCUGCUGCAUGGUGGGGGUUGGAAAGUUUCGGCGGUUGGGGAUGGACUCGCGGCUUAUCAGCUUGUUGGUGGGGUAGUGGCUUACCAAGGCUUUGACGGGUAGCCGGCCUGAGAGGGUGACCGGCCACAUUGGGACUGAGAUACGGCCCAGACUCCUACGGGAGGCAGCAGUGGGGAAUAUUGCACAAUGGGCGGAAGCCUGAUGCAGCAACGCCGCGUGCGGGAUGACGGACUUCGGGUUGUAAACCGCUUUCGCCUGUGACGAAGCGUGAGUGACGGUAAUGGGUAAAGAAGCACCGGCUAACUACGUG
RNAcentral lists this ribosomal RNA (468 nucleotides) under uncultured bacterium. Its description in RNAcentral is "partial 16S ribosomal RNA". It matches the Rfam family "Bacterial small subunit ribosomal RNA", at positions 28 to 507 of the family's 1533-position model. The record is from RNAcentral.